This 6263-nucleotide long non-coding RNA is filed under the name Homo sapiens (human). Its description in RNAcentral is "HSALNT0395164". Lineage: Eukaryota; Metazoa; Chordata; Mammalia; Primates; Hominidae. The record is from RNAcentral.
AAUCUCUUCCUGGGCAAGAGGGCGCUGUUACUACGGGAUUAGCCUGUCUAUUAUUUUUGGGUGUGCACAGGGUGACAAAUUAGGAAGGGUGUGCUCAAAGGUUAUUCAAAUAUUUCAAAUAAAGCAUAUUUGAGCACGGAAAGGCCAGGGAACAUUAAUCAAAUGUCAGCACCAAGACACUUUGUAGGCUAUUUCUGGUAUGUGUUUGCUGAGCGGCAGUCUGGCUUAGGCUCUGUGGGACAUGUGAUCACCCCAGUGUGAAGAAACGUGGAGCAUUAUGCAUGGGAGGCCCUGGAAGCACUGGGAAUUUGCAGAUGGAGUGCAGUGGACAGGAUGUGUUCCGAAACAGCCCGGAGUCAUUCCUCUGAAGCAGAUACAAAGGGAUGUAGGAUUGUGUUGACUGACAAGGCCAGAGUCUAUUUCCAUUCCUGCCCCUCUUGGGAAGUUAGAUUAAAGGGGGAAAUAUUUUGCAUAAAAGUGAUUUUAACAGAGUAAUGACUGAAAUGAUAAUAUGCCGGCGAUGGGCAUCCAUCACAGUAAUGAAAUAGCCUCCUAUAGGAGUCCUGCAACUGGCCGUUUCCCCCCAGAAGCAGUGUUCCCUCUCCACAUCACCCUCUUGGAUCCUUUCUGAUCUGCCUCACUGAGGCUUCCUUCUUCAGAAAGCCAAGCGAGCAAGCAAUAUUGCCUUUCUCUCCUUCAGCUCCUAUCAAAACAGUGCAGCAGCCCCAGUCACAAACUCAAGAGUCUUUUGACAGCAGCAAUUAAGCAACUUAAUUAAUGAGUGAAUAAAAACGAUAAUAUUUACUGAAUGGGAGCAUCCUGUUUUGCAUUUUUAUUCAAACUCUGCACCUGAAGAACACCACUAAGGAAAGCUCCCCAUCCCCCUGUUGUAGAGACAACCCCCUCUCUGUCUCUCUCUCUCUCUCUCUCUCUCUCUCUCUCUCUCUCUUCCUUUGCUCUGUCUCUCUCUCUCUUGCUUCCUUUGGUUCUGGCCUCAUAAACACCCCAAGGGUAAAACACACACAGUGUAAGAUUCACACAAGGCUAAUCCCUGUCCUCUUUCCGGGGGAAUGCACUUCUAUCUUUGUCAUGGUCUUUGUUCACCCCUAAAAAUCCUCAUUCAUACAUGAAGGACAAUUUCAUGAUACUUUUCUGAGGCUGAACUUUACAUCAAAGUGGGUGAUUAAUUACUGAUAAGGGUAUAAUAAAACAUUAAUGCAUUUUGUAAUUAACCAGCUUAGGAAUGACAUCUCCCAUCGCUUCAUGAGUGACAUGUUCACACACACACACAUACACACACAGAACUUUUUUUAAAAAAUUCUUUAUUUGGCUAUUAAUCUCAGCAGUGCCCUCAAUACAUUACAUUCUUUUUAAAAGCCACAUAUAUUUUCCUCAAUGAAAUAUCUAAUCCAUCUUGAGUGUAAGGAAAGCCCAUACAUAAUUAUUCCGUCGUGACAGACAGUGAGCUUUCUCGCUAUUAUUUUUGAUGGUGCUGUCAUGGAUGCCAAAUGUAUGUUGUGGUGGGAGCCAGCCAGAGUCGGGAACCCACCUGGAGAGCGGCUCCUUUCUUCUCUCAGGAAAGGUUCCCCACGCCUGACAGCCCCACCAUUCUGGUUAAGCUUAAUUAGUCAAGAGAGAAAAAGAACUGACUUCGGAGUGUUGUGUUACGUUUGGGGCUCCCCCCUUUUUUUCCCCUUUCCACUCAAAAUUUGACAUUCUUUGGAGAAGAUGAAGUUCCAAGUGGGAUCUGUGUUGGCACUUCCCACCCUCUCGUCAUCCUCACGUGGGACCCGCUUCUCACGGCCCAUCUUUUGUCUACCAGGGGCCUCGCAGGACUCUGCACAGCCCGCACAAAGGACGUAGGAUUCUGCACUGGCAGAACUGGAUGUAAUGUUGCCCUGAGAAACAUUCAUUUAUUUCAGAGUGAAACCCGUUAAAAUGGAAGUGUGUAGGAUUUGGGUUGGCUGGAUGCAAGCUUCCCUCUGCAGCGGGAUGAGGCUGCCACUACCAGGAGCACGCUGGCCUGCCGGCGGGAGGAACAGAUGCCAGAGGAGACCUGACUGUGUCCUCAAGGCCAUGCCCCAUCAGCCAUCCCAGCAGAGCCCACAGCCACCCACAGAGGAAUGAGGAUCCCCAUCCAGGAUCACCGGAACUGCACAACUGACUCACAAACGUGUGAAGAGUAAUGGGUAACGUGUUGAACUGUGAGCCUUUGAGCCUGGGGAGGUUUGUGAUGCAGCAGUAGCUCCCAGACCCUUGAGGCUCUUCGGCACGAAGGUGCUGAGCCAUGCACCUAUGCAAAGCCAAACUCUGCACUAGGCCUACUGGGGUGUGCAGAGAGAGAGGGCUGAACAAACUGCGGUUCCACCCAGAAGACCCAGAAGAACAUUUACGGAGGAGUCAGUGCAAGAGGCGAGAGAGCAUGCGUGAAGAGGCUCGUUCUUGUGGUGUAGAAAAGGAGGCCAGAGUCUCCCAGACCACGAUUCUUUUCCUUUAGGUGUUUCUUGGGCAUUUUCAAUCUUAAAUCUCUUCCCAUGUUAUUGAGAUUUCUGAUUGAAUGUCCCCAUUUUCCCUCAGACAGCAGGCCGUGUGUGAGUCACCACCUCCAUCUUUCUAUGUCCUGGGUGUGGGCCCAGUGAAGGACAGUUAUGGAAAUUUAGAGAGAAGAGGUCGCAGGUGUGGUGGGGGUGGUGAAGCUUCAGAAGAGAAAAGAAGCAUGGUGGAGAGGGUGGACUCUGGAGGCUACUGCAGAGCUCUCCCCCAGGCUAUGAGGGGGCAUGAUGGUCCCAAUAGCCUGAGUCUGUGUUCAUUUCAACUGGCUACCUUGUGACGAGGAAGAUGGCCCAGGUUCCCAGUGGGAAAUCUAUGGUUAUCAUUAAGAACGCAGGGCCUGAGAUGAAACCUGGCAGGUGAAAGGCACCUGGUUUUAUGCAACCUGGUUUUGCAGAAGCCUGUGGGAGGGGGCCCAGGGGGGAAGGGAGCAGAGGGCAGUGUUGGCUCUGGUUCCCCCACCAGGCAGGUGGGCUAGCACCUGGGUAAGGGGCUUUGCAUCUGGAGCUGGUCAUGCCUCAGUCCAGAUCCUGCCUUUAUCAGUUGAUGGGCUGUUACCUGCCAGUGGUUAUGGUGAGGACUAAAUUACGGAAAGUCAUCAAGGAUCUUCAUUCAUUGCCCACCACAGAGCAGGCACUCAAUGGAGAACACUCACCACCAUCUAUGUUGUUAAUGUUGCAUCUGCAGCCCUUGGUUUCCUGGAAAGACUCUACAGUACAGGGGCAGGUUAGGGGCCACAACCAGGAAACAAGACACAUCUGAGAGAAUGCAUGGGAGCUUAUGGAAGGAUGUACAAGGCUGGGUGUGGGAAUCCCGGCACUUCGGGAGGCUAAGGUGGAAGGAUCACUUGCAUCCAGGAUUCAAGCCUAGCCUGGCCACGUAGUGAGACCCCAGCUCUACAAAAAAUCAAAAAUCAACUGGGCAUGGUGGCAUGUGCCUCUAAUCCAAGCUACUCAGGAAGCAGAGAUGGGAGGAUCGCUUGAGCCCAGGAGGUUGAGGCUGCAGUGAGCUGAGAUCAUACCACUGCACUCAUUCUGGGCAACAGAGUGAAACCCUGUCUCAAAAAUAUAAAUAAAUAAAUAAAUAAAUAAAUAAAUAAAGAAAGAAAGAAAGAAAGAAAGAAUUUACAAGAGGGGAGUUUUAGUGGUUGAAAAAUCAUUCACUCAUUCCAGGAGCAAGAGCCUUGUGGGUUUUCUUCCUGUUCUUGCCUGGGUUAUCUCUACUGAACCAAAGAAUCCUUGUUAGGAAUGCUCUGGUGGUGUCAAUCAAUGCGUUUAUAAAUCAUUUGCUUUUACCAUGGAAAAAGAUAUCACAAAACAACACAGCUGUAGUGCAGGUGCAGAUGACCAUGGAACGGCAGCCUGGCGUUUUCAGUAGAGCACUGGGCAGCAGAGUCCCUGGGCCUCGGAACCCCGGCCUGUUACCACCCAACACCAUCCCUGGGCAAAAUGCGAAACUCCCAUCAGAUCCAUGAAUGGAAAAUGGGCGUAAUUAUAAUUGCACCCCACUCUCUACCUCUCAGCUAAGGUGAGAAAUGAAUAUGAGGAUGCUCAGUGAAAAUGCUUUGAAGUCUGUGAAAUGCGAAGCAAAUGUGAAGCGAGAGGAAUAAUAAGGUUCUAAGGACCCACACUUGGGCGUUUGCUCUGAGCUGGCCCCUGUCCUCCACACUGAACCUACAGCCUCUCCUCUCACCUAAUCUGCACAAAAAUCUUACGAAGCAGACACACUUACCAUGCUGGCCUUUCCGUGAAAUUUCAGGUCUUAGUGUCGCCCAUUACUGGUGGCAUUUCAUGCCACAAGUUGGGCCAUCUGCACCUCCAAGCACAGGGUCACAGAAGACUUUAUCCCGUCCCUUGGGCUGACUGAAUGGUUGGUUUGUGUCAACCCCUGUUGUCCCUUUGAGCAACUCGGGGGCAAUGGUUAUGGGUAGGGCUUAAAAAACCGUCUGGCUGCAAACCCAGUGCUGAUACGAACAAGGCCUAGUCAGGCACUAAGUGUUUUGUGUUCCCCAAAGAGAUCUUAAUGAAAUCCCAGCAUGCCACUCACUCCUACACUUAAAAUACCUUUUAAGUGUAGGAAAGAAAGUGCUUUCAACCCCACCCCAGCCAUUUGGAUUCGGAGACUCCAUUUAAGAUGCACAGCUUUCCUCCAGCACAGGGGCUGGGUAUCCAAACGCAGAGCCUCCCCCAGACUCUCUCUAGGCUUAGCCUGGCUUGGUGGGCUCAGGAGGGAUUCAAGAUUAUUUCAUCCUUUAUGUCCAUUCGAUGACAGUUUAUCAUCAUUGCCACCUCAUACUCUAUUGUAGCCAAACAUCAUAACCAGCACCAUGUGAACUACGUCACUGACGCCACAUUCUUUUUCUCGGCUGUCACUAGGCUCAGGUCAGGACAGCCCUCCCGGCUGACUUCCGCGAUACUUUCUGUAUCUCCUUUUCAGUCUGCCCUAAAAUGACAGCUGGACUUCCGACAGUGGUUUCUUAUGUGGGACACAUGGCUCUUAUACUCUGGGUGGCACGGAUUCCUUUAUUGCCAGUGGCUUAAUUUUCCCAGAUCUAUUUCCAUGCAGACAGUGUGAGGUUGGACUUCAUGCCUCAUGCUCCUGAUUGGGGCUCGGAAGUCUAACCCAGCUUCCUGCAGUGCCGCCCCCAGCUUAUUCAAUGCCCAACCUGCAGGUCCUAAGUUGAACCCGCACACUGCACGCUCACCUGGUCUGUGCUGCCAGCUGCAUUGGAAAUGGAAGCAUUAAACACCGUUCUCCACUGUCAGCCACCUGCUAGCUAAUGAGUGACAUCAUUUAACACUGUUUUGAAAAGAGAGAUUUAAAGUUGUUUUGAAAACUGAAGGAAAAAUACAAAUGUUUGAGUGUUAAACAUUUUGCCCAAAUACUAAAAUGUGAAUGUCUUUUUAUUGUGACAGUUCACAGGAAAGCGGGCUAUAGCAUGCCUGUGCUUGUCAAUGAAAAUCUUAGCACUGAGUUUGGUAAACAUUCUGGCAGUCGGGAAGCCACUUAAAAAUAAAGUUUAAAGAAAAGAAAGAGAAGUGUUCACUUUCCUUCUAAUUUUCCCAGAUACGCUCAAUAUUCUGCUUUAUUUUUUAGUAUUUUAACUAAAAUAAGAAAACUCGGAUUCUACCUCUAUGUGUCCUAUGAUUGUUGUUGUUUUCUCUGAUUAUAAAAUACAGGUUUGCAGCAGAAAACUUGGCAAAACAGAGAUAUGAAGAAUAAAAUAAAAAUCACCUGUAGUUCUAAGCCAUGAGAAUAAUCAUAUAUAUAUUCCCUAGGUAUUCUGAAGCAUAUGUAUUACAGUCCAAAUAUUUAAAAACAAAAUUUGGGUAAUACUUUAGAUAGAGAGUUGUAUUCUGAUUUUUUCUAUUAAUAUUAUAACUUUGAAACGAGGGACUUCACCAUUGCUUUUAUUUUUCUUUGCUAUGUAAGUACUUAUGUUCUUUAUGAGGAAAAUAAAAACUAUAGAAAAGAAAGAUAAGAAAAUAAAAUCAGUAAUAAUCCCCUCACUUACAAAUGACUGCUGUUAACAUUUUAGUUUUUUGGUUUCUAUCUAUUUAUGUGAAAUUUGAAUGAAAAUAGUAUAAUUUCGCUGUCUCUAUAUUGCUUGGUAACAUAAUGAUUUAACUGUAUAAUAAAUAGUAUAUUACAUGAAUAUUUUGAGUAAUAGUCUGUGUGAUAAUUUUUAUUCGGUGUGUGGUGUUCCACUACAU